Molecule: transfer RNA, 73 nt
Filed under: Anaerolineaceae bacterium
Lineage: Bacteria; Bacillati; Chloroflexota; Anaerolineae; Anaerolineales; Anaerolineaceae
Also listed under: 3 other names
Description: tRNA-Lys
Rfam family: tRNA
About the family: Transfer RNA (tRNA) molecules are approximately 80 nucleotides in length. Their secondary structure includes four short double-helical elements and three loops (D, anti-codon, and T loops). Further hydrogen bonds mediate the characteristic L-shaped molecular structure. tRNAs have two regions of fundamental functional importance: the anti-codon, which is responsible for specific mRNA codon recognition, and the 3' end, to which the tRNAs corresponding amino acid is attached (by aminoacyl-tRNA synthetases). tRNAs cope with the degeneracy of the genetic code in two manners: having more than one tRNA (with a specific anti-codon) for a particular amino acid; and 'wobble' base-pairing, i.e. permitting non-standard base-pairing at the 3rd anti-codon position.
Source: RNAcentral
GAGCCGUUAGCUCAGUCGGUAGAGCAACUGCCUUUUAAGCAGUGGGUCCUGGGUUCGAGUCCCAGACGGCUCA